GUGAAUCAUCGAAUUUUUGAACGCAAAUUGCGCUUUCUGGUAUUCCGGAAAGUAUGCCUGUUUGAGGGUCAGUAAAAUAAAAAUCGGUGUUGUUGCUGCCUUUCUGGGUGGCGCGUCGGAAGUGGGUCGUUUUACUUUUGGUUAAGUGACUUAAAAUUUUGGCAUGAUUUUCGAACGUAUUUAAAUCGUUUACGUACGUUUGAUAUUUC
This 209-nucleotide unclassified non-coding RNA is filed under the name Glomus sp. Its description in RNAcentral is "partial contains 5.8S ribosomal RNA and internal transcribed spacer 2". The stretch from base 1 to 71 matches the Rfam family "5.8S ribosomal RNA", at positions 84 to 154 of the family's 154-position model. The record is from RNAcentral. Lineage: Eukaryota; Fungi; Glomeromycota; Glomeromycetes; Glomerales; Glomeraceae.